AGAACCCAUAAAUCUUUCUAGAUUUGUUUUGGGCUCUGCAUCCAGGUGCAUUGCCUCAAAGGGAUAGGUCUUGAUUUAGCGGACGAGUUCCUGUUGGACUUACCGUGGGUCUGACCAGCGCCAAAAGAGGUCGAUUGAGCCUCUGAAC
Molecule: unclassified non-coding RNA, 148 nt
Filed under: uncultured Archaeorhizomycetaceae
Lineage: Eukaryota; Fungi; Ascomycota; Archaeorhizomycetes; Archaeorhizomycetales; Archaeorhizomycetaceae
Description: sequence contains ITS2
Source: RNAcentral